Molecule: ribosomal RNA, 602 nt
Filed under: Sporobolomyces pararoseus
Lineage: Eukaryota; Fungi; Basidiomycota; Microbotryomycetes; Sporidiobolales; Sporidiobolaceae
Description: eukaryotic LSU rRNA
Rfam family: 5.8S ribosomal RNA (bases 178-331)
Source: RNAcentral
UCCGUAGGUGAACCUGCGGAAGGAUCAUUAUUGAAAACAAGGGUGUCCAAUUUAACUUGGAACCCAAACUUCUCAAUUCUAACUUUGUGCAUCUGUAUUAAUGGCGAGCAACUUCGGUUGUGAGCCUUCACUUACAAAACACUAGUCUAUGAAUGUAAAAUUUUUAUAACAAAUAAAAACUUUCAACAACGGAUCUCUUGGCUCUCGCAUCGAUGAAGAACGCAGCGAAAUGCGAUACGUAAUGUGAAUUGCAGAAUUCAGUGAAUCAUCGAAUCUUUGAACGCAUCUUGCGCUCUCUGGUAUUCCGGAGAGCAUGUCUGUUUGAGUGUCAUGAAUUCUUCAACCCAAUCUUUUCUUGUAAUCGAUUGGUGUUUGGAUUCUGAGCGUUGCUGGCGUUUGCCUAGCUCGUUCGUAAUACAUUAGCAUCCCUAAUACAAGUUUGGAUUGACUUGGCGUAAUAGACUAUUCGCUAAGGAUUCGGUGGAAACAUCGAGCCAACUUCAUUAAGGAAGCUCCUAAUUUAAAAGUCUACCUUUUGAUUAGAUCUCAAAUCAGGCAGGAUUACCCGCUGAACUUAAGCAUAUCAAUAAGCGGAGGAAAAG